RNAcentral lists this ribosomal RNA (309 nucleotides) under uncultured bacterium. RNAcentral's name for it is "bacterial SSU rRNA". It matches the Rfam family "Bacterial small subunit ribosomal RNA", at positions 28 to 334 of the family's 1533-position model. The record is from RNAcentral.
GACGAACGCUGGCGGCGUGCUUAACACAUGCAAGUCGAACGGUGAAGCCCAGCUUGCUGGGUGGAUGAGUGGCGAACGGGUGAGUAACACGUGAGUAACCUGCCCCCUUCUUCUGGAUAACUGCCUGAAAGGGUAGCUAAUACGGGAUAUUCUGGCCUGCUCGCAUGGGUGGGUUUGGAAAGGUUUUUUCUGGUGGGGGAUGGGCUCGCGGCCUAUCAGCUUGUUGGUGGGGUGAUGGCCUACCAAGGCUUUGACGGGUAGCCGGCCUGAGAGGGUGGACGGCCACACUGGGACUGAGACACGGCCCAG